RNAcentral lists this ribosomal RNA (538 nucleotides) under Bifidobacterium longum subsp. suillum. Its description in RNAcentral is "bacterial SSU rRNA". It matches the Rfam family "Bacterial small subunit ribosomal RNA", at positions 145 to 698 of the family's 1533-position model. Lineage: Bacteria; Bacillati; Actinomycetota; Actinomycetes; Bifidobacteriales; Bifidobacteriaceae. The record is from RNAcentral.
UUCUCCUGGAAACGGGUGGUAAUGCCGGAUGCUCCAGUUGAUCGCAUGGUCUUCUGGGAAAGCUUUCGCGGUAUGGGAUGGGGUCGCGUCCUAUCAGCUUGACGGCGGGGUAACGGCCCACCGUGGCUUCGACGGGUAGCCGGCCUGAGAGGGCGACCGGCCACAUUGGGACUGAGAUACGGCCCAGACUCCUACGGGAGGCAGCAGUGGGGAAUAUUGCACAAUGGGCGCAAGCCUGAUGCAGCGACGCCGCGUGAGGGAUGGAGGCCUUCGGGUUGUAAACCUCUUUUAUCGGGGAGCAAGCGAGAGUGAGUUUACCCGUUGAAUAAGCACCGGCUAACUACGUGCCAGCAGCCGCGGUAAUACGUAGGGUGCAAGCGUUAUCCGGAAUUAUUGGGCGUAAAGGGCUCGUAGGCGGUUCGUCGCGUCCGGUGUGAAAGUCCAUCGCUUAACGGUGGAUCCGCGCCGGGUACGGGCGGGCUUGAGUGCGGUAGGGGAGACUGGAAUUCCCGGUGUAACGGUGGAAUGUGUAGAUAUC